UACGGAGGGUGCAAGCGUUGUCCGGAAUCAUUGGGCGUAAAGAGCUCGUAGGCGGCUUAGUAAGUCGGGUGUGAAAACCCCAGGCUCAACCUGGGGACGCCACCCGAUACUGCUAUAGCUAGAGUCCAGUAGGGGAGUGUGGAAUUCCCAGUGUAGCGGUGAAAUGCGCAGAUAUUGGGAGGAACACCAGCGGCGAAGGCGGCACUCUGGGCUGGUACUGACGCUGAGGAGCGAAAGCGUGGGUAGCGAACAGG
Molecule: ribosomal RNA, 254 nt
Filed under: uncultured bacterium
Lineage: Bacteria
Description: partial 16S ribosomal RNA
Rfam family: Bacterial small subunit ribosomal RNA
Source: RNAcentral